AAAAAAGAAGGACCCCAUUGUGCCUGAGGGCUUCGAAAGGGUUGCUGUGCCUGCAAAGGGGGCAUUCAGGGGCCAGAGCACACAAGGCCUCGUUCUAAGGCCUUUACACUCAGAGUGGGAAGCUCUUGAAGGUUUUAAUCAGGGAGUGACAUGGUCUGAUAUCCCUUUCCUGAUGAACUGACCCUGACUUGGGCAGCUGGGGGAAUGGGGUGUUAUUUCCUGACACAGAGAAGACUUGGGAAAAAUAGGGUUGGGGGUGAAAAUAGGGAGUGAAGCCUUCCCCGACAGGUGGUUCUGAUGGGUGGUGACUCUCCCCAUGGGCCUCUCUUCCCCCUCUGCUUACAGGGCCCAUUAUACAAUAUUUUAACUUUGCAAUUCUUAUUUUCUUGUAUGACUCCUUUACUUGACUGACCUCCUUUAGGGCUGAGGCCGCUGUAAGCCAAGGUACGCAACGCUUGCUAAACAGGAAUCCCUGGAAUGAAUCCAUGCAUGAGGCCUUUGUGCCAUGUGACAGUUGAAGGCUGUGGUGACCCCGGAACCGUCCCACUCCGAGACGCCUUAACACCGUUUUUCUGCUGUUACAAACCACAGAGCAACGCGUGUGCCUCCUCCCGCCCUGGGGACUCUUUCUGUGGGAGAGGUGCCUGGAUUUAGAGGAGCGACCACUCUUCAUUUGUAGGUACUCUCCCUAGCCUGGGAGCCCUUCAGCUCCCACUCCAGAGUGGUUGUUGGUGGAUCUUGGUCACUUUCCCAGUUGUCACUCGGCCCACAAACUAGGAUGUGAGCAGCAUAUUAAGAAUCUGCAGAGAUGUUCCCGUCUGCCCGGCAUAUGGAUGUCCUUCUGGGCUGCAAAGUGGCAUCCUGUGGGCAACUCCCCCCACAACAACCAGCUGUGAGCUGUGCCCAGGCACAGAGGGACCUGGCUUUCCCUGUUUCUGCAGAUGGAGCCCAGGGUUUCAGGGAGGGAGGGGGCAGGCUGGGACCUGUUGGGGAUCUGGGCACUUUCUCAUGCUCCUUGAGCUGCAAGUCAUAGAAGGAGUGGGGUGGGAGCUGGGAAUGUACCUUCCCAAGGCCACUGGCAGAACCAGCAGGCCCUUUGCUCUGGGAUGAGCUCCCUCUGAGGGGUGGGGACAGUAAAGCGGACCGAAGUCCCUGUUCUGCGGGAUGGAAACUGGCUCCCCUCCAUUGUACAGGCCAGCUCUGGGGAUUUGGGCAGCAGAUUUGGGGUUGACAGCAGAAUGACAUGAUCACCAGUUGACCUUGGCCAGGAUGCCAGCUUACUUUCUCGCUUACUUCUGCAGGUUCUUUGUUCUGCGGGUGAGUCACCCAGGUCCUGCCCUCCGUGCCUGUCUGCCCUCUCCCACUUUCCCUGCCCUGAGCUUGUUCCCACUUGUAGAUUUGGCAGGUCACUGCCAAGGCCCCUAUUCCCCCAACAUGGCCAGUGCCCUAAGGGUGGGUUGUACAGGGAGGAGCUGGCGUGGUCAGUAGACUUGAAUCAGGGACAACUCGGCUGCUGAAGGCUGAGGGGGCCUUGCAGGGCUGCAGGUGCCUUGUGCACACAGGGAGUGGGUAGAGAAGGCAACCAGGGGCUCCUUCAGGCCUUAAUGCUCUGCAGCCCAGUGAGGCUGUGCCCAGAGAGUCUGGCGAGGCCCUGGUCUGCUCCCCCAGCCAAUGGCCUGAUGCUGUUCCAUCUGGGCACCCUGUCACUUUUCGUUCAUCAGGGAGUACAGGGUGAUUCAGGGUCUCAAAUGCAGGUGUUCACAAAAUGAAAUAGAACUUCCCUCUAUCCCCGUGCUUCUUUUUAUUUUUAUAACAAAUAUACAUCGUUAUAUUUUAUUUUUAUAUUUAUGUAUUUUAUAUAUAUGUGACAUCUACUACAUGACAGAAAAUAUUUAUGGCCAGGCAAGGUGGCUUACACCUGUAAUGCCAGCACUUUGGGAGGCUGAGGCAGGCGGAUCACCUGAGGUCGAGAGUUGGAGACCAGUGUGACCAACAUGGAGAAACCCCAUCUCUACUAAAAAUACAAAAUCAGCUGGGGGUGGUGGCGCAUGCCUGUAAUCCCAGCUACUCGGGAAGCUGAGGCAGGAGAAUCGCUUGAACCGGGGAGGCGGAGGUUGUGGUGAGCCGAGAUUGCACCAUUGCACUCCAGCCUGGCAACAAGGGAUAAACCCCGUCUCAAAAAAAAAAAAAGAAAAAAAAAAAGAAAAAAAUAUUUAUAAUGUAACUAAUAUAGCUAAAAUAAAAUGUAAUUUCAGUCUCAAGCCUUCAUUCUGUUAAGGGGACAGAAACUUAAUCUUGGUCAUCUUGGGGUCUCCCUCCCUGGGGCUGUGCCUGACUUCCAGGGGGCUCGGCGUUGGCAGGAUUUCUGGUGCUUGAGGUCACCUGUCAGCCUGUCUCUUGUCAUUGGCUAUCCGCCGUGCCAUCUGCUCCUGUGUGUCCUUGGCACUGUUCGCAUGUCUCCAGCUCGCUGGCUUUCUCUGCCACCUUGGAGCCACUCCUGGGUGCACAGGAGUCUUACUGCUCCCACGCUGUGCUGGGGCCUGGGAAGACUGCUGUGGCCUACCUGCCUCCGUGUAGCACACACACCCAUUUCUUCUUCUUCUUCUCCUUCUCCUUCUUCAGACAGAGACUCACUCUGUCACCUAGGCUGGACUGCAGUGGUGCCAAAUUGGCUCACUGCAACCUCCGCCUCCCGGGUU
RNAcentral lists this long non-coding RNA (2699 nucleotides) under Homo sapiens (human). RNAcentral's name for it is "HSALNT0175974". The record is from RNAcentral. Lineage: Eukaryota; Metazoa; Chordata; Mammalia; Primates; Hominidae.